AUCGACUGUAAGACAAAAUUAAAUUAUACUUUUCCAAUAGAAAAGACAAAAUGGAAUUUUUUUGCCAUUGUCCUUUAAACUAUGUUAUUUAUAGAUUAGUAAAUUGUAUUGAAUGUAAUUAUAUCAUACCAGAAACUGAUUGCGUUGAGCAUAUGAUGCAUGAUUUAGGGUGUAUUAUCAAGUAUAUGCUCAGGGUACAGUGUUACAAGUGUUACGCUAUCUUUAUUUAGGUUUAGGGGUAGGGUUAGUGUGUGUAACACCAUGUUACACUAUGUAAUACGGUGGGUUAGGGUUAGUGUGUGUAACACGGUGGGUUAGGGUUAGUGUGUGUAAUACUAUGUAACACUGUCAACACUCUGUAGCACUGUGUAACACUAUGUAACAAUGUGUAACACUAUGUAACACUAUGUAUUAAUAUGUAACAUGGUUUAACACUGUGUAACACUUGUAACAGUGUUACAACUGAGUGCCAUAAUAAAGCCACCCUAAAUCGUGCAUGGUAUUAUAUGAUUGAGUAUUCAAGUACUCAAGUACUAAGUUGAGCUAGAUGACACAUUCAUUAAGCUAAUUGACACAUAUUGUUCUUAGUUGCAUAAUUGCAUUUUUUGUAAACAUUGCUUAUAACUUCAAGUGAAAUAAAUGCUAUGUUUACUUGGAUAACAACUGAAUUUGUUGUUUUGAUCCAUUAUUCUAAACGGAA
Molecule: non-coding RNA, 700 nt
Organism: Paramuricea clavata
Lineage: Eukaryota; Metazoa; Cnidaria; Anthozoa; Malacalcyonacea; Plexauridae
Source: the annotation of a GenBank genome assembly